This 164-nucleotide ribosomal RNA is filed under the name Muhlenbergia caxamarcensis. RNAcentral describes it as "5.8S ribosomal RNA". It matches the Rfam family "5.8S ribosomal RNA". From Rfam's summary of the family: 5.8S ribosomal RNA (5.8S rRNA) is a component of the large subunit of the eukaryotic ribosome. The record is from RNAcentral. Lineage: Eukaryota; Viridiplantae; Streptophyta; Magnoliopsida; Poales; Poaceae.
CACAUGACUCUCGGCAACGGAUAUCUCGGCUCUCGCAUCGAUGAAGAACGUAGCAAAAUGCGAUACCUGGUGUGAAUUGCAGAAUCCCGUGAACCAUCGAGUUUUUGAACGCAAGUUGCGCCCGAGGCCUUUUGGUUGAGGGCACGUCUGCCUGGGCGUCACGY